UGUAAAAAGUGAUGAAGACAACAAAGCUUUCUUCUGAGAGACAUGACUGCUAGCAGUGGUGCCUACACAACGUAUGCGAGACAGUAAUGAUAUUCCUGGCAGGCUGAUCAGCACACUGAUAGAGCCGUGACCUGUGGAGGGAGGAAUGUCUGUCAUUCUGUCAAGAGUAAACAAGCCGUAGUGGAAAUGAAAAACAGAAACCAAGGCCUGAGAAGUUGCCAAGAGCUCUUACAUUUGUUCUCUCAAUAGAAACAUGGAAAAGUGAUUUACCUACUUUGCUGUCCAACACACUGUC
Molecule: long non-coding RNA, 295 nt
Filed under: Calidris pugnax (ruff)
Lineage: Eukaryota; Metazoa; Chordata; Aves; Charadriiformes; Scolopacidae
Description: lncRNA (ENSCPUG00000019235.1)
Source: RNAcentral